GUCCACGCCGUAAACGAUGGGUACUAGGUGUAGGGGGUAUCGACUCCCUCUGUGCCGCCGUUAACACAAUAAGUACCCCGCCUGGGGAGUACGGUCGCAAGAUUAAAACUCAAAGGAAUUGACGGGGACCCGCACAAGCAGCGGAGCAUGUGGUUUAAUUCGAAGCAACGCGAAGAACCUUACCUAGACUUGACAUCUCCUGCAUUACUCGUAAUUGAGGAAGUCCCUUCGGGGACAGGAAGACAGGUGGUGCAUGGUUGUCGU
RNAcentral lists this ribosomal RNA (264 nucleotides) under uncultured bacterium. Its description in RNAcentral is "partial 16S ribosomal RNA". It matches the Rfam family "Bacterial small subunit ribosomal RNA", at positions 793 to 1055 of the family's 1533-position model. The record is from RNAcentral.